RNAcentral lists this ribosomal RNA (452 nucleotides) under uncultured marine eukaryote. RNAcentral's name for it is "SSU rRNA". It matches the Rfam family "Eukaryotic small subunit ribosomal RNA", at positions 619 to 1086 of the family's 1831-position model. The record is from RNAcentral.
UUAAAAAGCUCGUAGUUGGAUUUCUGCGAGGGUGCCAAUGUCCGCCGACGCGCGUGCGCAGCGGCGCCCUCGCAUCCUUCUGUUACCACCUCUCGGCAUUCACUUGCCGGUGGUCGGCUCAGAGAAUUUACCUUGAGAAAAUUAGAGUGUUUCAGGCAGGCUAGGCCGGAAUACAUUAGCAUGGAAUAAUGGAAUAGGACUACGGUCUCGUUGUUGGUUACGCGGACAACAGUAAUGAUUAAUAGGGACAGUUGGGGGCAUUAGUAUUUAUUAGCUAGAGGUGGAAUUCUCUAAUUCGAUAAAGACUAACUUAUGCGAAAGCAUUUGCCAAGGAUGUUUUCAUUAAUCAAGAACGAAAGUUAGGGGAUCAAAGACGAUCAGAUACCGUCCUAGUCUUAACCAUAAACUAUGCCGACUCGGGAUCGGGAGCGUGUGUUAUCCGCUUUCGGCAC